AUUAAACCUCUGUGCUCUAAUUUCAAUAUUAAGCUAACAAAUUAUCGUCCAUAGUUCAAUCAGGAUUUUUAUUUAGAGCUAUUUAUCUUUAGAUCUGUGCUUUGCUGUUGGAGAAUCAAGAAUGUCUCAUAUCCUUCUGAUAUGUUUCUUUCUUUUCUCUGAUUUAUGUAAAAAUUAGAGCUUUCUCUACUAAUUUCAUUUUCUUUCUGUCCAAAUCUAAUUGUUGUAGUUUUGAUAGUCAUAUUUUUGAGAUAUUAUUGUCCCUGUCAUCGUAUUUUGGAGAUAUUGGUACUGCUGCCGUUAUACUUUGGGGACGUUGAUGUUCCUGUUCUUUCAUGCAUAUAUGUUCUAAUUUAUGGACAUUAAUGUAUUAAUGUUUCAAAAGAAUGAUGGAGAAUAUUUGCAUACCAGUUUGGGGAUAUAUUUGUGCUUUUUUCCUAAAAUAAAAGAACUUUUUGCUCCUGUUGGUUGCUAAAAAGGGGGCGGAAGUAAAAUUUUAGCUUAAGUCUAAAGUAAUGUCAAGCUGAUUCGAGGCAAAUGCAGCCUAACAUUGAACAUGUAUUUACCUGUAAUCCGAUAGUACAAAGCAUCAAUGGUUUAAAUUGUGUGUUUGCCUCAGCCUGAGUCCUUAUCUUCCUUGAGCUUUGGUUUCCAAAAUGUUGUUGAUCCCUGCCUGUUUUUGGCCUUUAACUUGAGCUAACGCGGGAACCAGAGAGAUCGAGAUCGUGAAAGGGCACAAGCCAGGGGAAAUCACAAGUCCAAGACACCUAAAAAUGAUGGAUUAACUCCUGAACAACGAAGAGAAAGGGAUGCAAAGGCACUUCAAGAGAAGGCGAAAAAGAAAGCAGCACAGGCGGAAGAUGGAUGGAAUAUCAACAAAUCGGAAAGCCAUAACAUCAAGAAGAAAUAGAUUCAUGACGAGUUUCAUGGAACUUUUUAUCCUCAGUAAUUCUGGCAUGUAUUGUUUGGCUUUUGUACCUUUGAUUUGUGUCUUCAUCUGCAAUGAAAUUUACUCACUCUUCACAUUGUUGGAAAGAAAUAUAUAUUGAUCAAAGAAAUUUGAAUUGGCUAAGUGCUAAUAUAGUUAUAUUAAAUGAUCUAUGAAUCAAGUGAAGAUACUAAAAUAGCUACCAGAUUAUAAUUUCUAUCAAGGUAAAUAGUUUGAGGUGCGGAUAAGGCGAC
RNAcentral lists this long non-coding RNA (1182 nucleotides) under Solanum lycopersicum (tomato). RNAcentral describes it as "partial TCONS_00102749". Lineage: Eukaryota; Viridiplantae; Streptophyta; Magnoliopsida; Solanales; Solanaceae. The record is from RNAcentral.